Zea mays is the source of this 1662-nucleotide long non-coding RNA. RefSeq lists it as uncharacterized. NCBI's taxonomy places the organism in Eukaryota, Viridiplantae, Streptophyta, Magnoliopsida, Poales, Poaceae. The transcript has 3 exons. The record is from RefSeq and is a predicted model, not a curated record.
GGCCUCCAGUCCAACUCGGUAUUGGCUUACGCAGAAACGGAACAUCCCGUAGUCCGUUGAGUACCUAGAAUUAUAAGCUGAUGUUCAAUGAGAGCUUCUUACAGAAAAAAGGUUGGAAAAUACUGUAACUUUCUAGAUGGACAGUGAUGCACAGCUCAGCUCCAUCAACAAAUAGCUUCAAUGCUGUAUUUGUUAACUGCCAUAAGUAUUUGUUUUUGACUUUUUUGCAGGUGUCAUGAGUAGUGAAAUUUCAGCCAUCUCAGCUUCAUCAAACACCAUAAAAGAACUGCUCACGGUUUUCUGCUGGCACGUAGAACAUAUUCUGAGCUGGUACCCCGCAUUCACCACCUGAAUCAAGAUUUCCAUAGAAAGAUCCUGAUCCAGGCCAAUCUCUUUUGUGGCUACCACUGCAACCACAAAUUAGUAGCAUCAGAAACAUAUAAAAACUGUAUCGUUUUAUUACUUGAUCUAUUGUCGAAUUGGAAUCCUGGAGAACCUCCCAACCAUGUAAGGCACAGUAGAAGCAAUGGGCUCAACCUGUGCAGUGAAUUGGUCGCAUUGUGAAAGAUAGCCAUUGGCAUAUGAGCUGGUUUGUUGUGUUAAGUGAACCAGGCUCAAAGUCAUUGGACUCAUUUGAACCAUCAACCUCAGUCCGUUGAGAUGACUAUAAUGUGGUGUGGUGUGACCCAUGAUUGACAUAAAUUAAGAAGAUUUGGUGGGCUUGGCUUGAUGACAACAUUGUUUUUUUUGUGUCUGUACACGAUGGCAGCAGUGCUUUCGCCUUAUGUGUGCUGCUCUUCAGGUCUCUAUGGAUGACAUCGCCCCCUCUCCCGCUAUUAUUAAUUUAAUUUGUAGCGAGACUGACAUGAUGAUGAUAAGAUGACGGAUCGCCAUGUCAACAUGGGAUGCUCAUCAUCGAAUGAUUUUAUCUAUAAUUUGCGAUGUGUUUUGUGAGAUGAGUCGGGCGAUGGAAGUUGGUCAACAUGCACCAGAGGUCGAGGCUGCUGAAGCAUCAGAUGAAGAUGUUGAGGCCUACAUCGGCAAAGCCACCGGUGGUGUGCUGAUUUAUCUAUUACUUUUCUUAAACAACAUAUAUAGAAAUUGUCCCACUCCUGUUUACUACACAAAGAUGUUAAGUGUAUUGCAACACAAUAAAUGUUUUUAUGACUAAGUUUUAAUCCAAAAUAUUUCGAGUUUAGUUAUGUAUUGGUUAUUAUUACUCCAGUCCAAUCAUGGUUAUUACCUGUUUAUAUAUCUGCCAGGAUAUUUACUCCUUUGGUGAACGCAGAGAUGAAUUGAGACAAUAAUGGAAUGGUGACCUUCAAGGAAUUCCUUUUUGCUUUUACUCAACCGAAGAUUAGGCGUUCUGAAUCGAUCGAGCCAGCCCCUCAGGAGGCCUCCAGCAGCUCCCUCCUGUCGUGCCUCGGAAGUAGUAGCUCAUGUUCUAUAUGUGGCGAGCUGAUGGUAGAAAUUACCAGGUUCAUUCUCUUCUGUGAUAUGUGAAGCUCGAGUGAAAAGAAAAAUUAUGUGAUGAGAACAUAGCAGCUGAAGUUGGAAUAUAUUGAGAUGUCUAUAAUGUGGUGUGGUGUGACCCAUGAUUGACAGAUUAAGAAGAUUUGGUGGGCUUGGCUUGAUGACAGGCGACAGCAUUGUUUUUUUUGG